This 249-nucleotide ribosomal RNA is filed under the name uncultured soil bacterium. RNAcentral's name for it is "partial 16S ribosomal RNA". It matches the Rfam family "Bacterial small subunit ribosomal RNA", at positions 26 to 278 of the family's 1533-position model. The record is from RNAcentral.
AGGACGAACGCUGGCGGCGUGCUUAACACAUGCAAGUCGAACGGAAAGGCCCUUCGGGGUACUCGAGUGGCGAACGGGUGAGUAACACGUGGGUGAUCUGCCCUGCACUUUGGGAUAAGCCUGGGAAACUGGGUCUAAUACCGAAUAUGACUACGCACUUCCUGGUGUGUGGUGGAAAGCUUUUUGCGGUGUGGGAUGGGCCCGCGGCCUAUCAGCUUGUUGGUGGGGUAAUGGCCUACCAAGGCGACG